GAUGAACGCUAGCGGGAGGCUUAACACACGCAAGUCGGGGGGUAGGGAAGCAAUUCCUGAGACCGGCGGACGGGUGCGUAACGCGUAUGCAACCUGCCUUAUACAGGGGGAUAGCCCAUGGAAACGUGGAUUAACACCCCAUAGGAUUACGGGAUCGCAUGAUUUUGUGAUUAAAACUGAGGUGGUAUAAGAUGGGCAUGCGUCUGAUUAGGUAGUUGGUAGGGUAAUGGCCUACCAAGCCGACGAUCAGUAGGGGUUCUGAGAGGAUUACCCCCCACACUGGUACUGAGACACGGACCAGACUCCUACGGGAGGCAGCAGUGAGGAAUAUUGGUCAAUGGCCGGAAGGCUGAACCAGCCAUCCCGCGUGCAGGAUGACGGCCCUAUGGGUUGUAAACUGCUUUUGUACCUGAAGAAUAGGCCCAACGAGUUGGGAUUUGCCGGUAAGGUAUGAAUAAGCAUCGGCUAACUCCGUGCCAGCCGCCGCAGUAA
This 492-nucleotide ribosomal RNA is filed under the name uncultured bacterium. RNAcentral's name for it is "partial 16S ribosomal RNA". It matches the Rfam family "Bacterial small subunit ribosomal RNA", at positions 28 to 523 of the family's 1533-position model. The record is from RNAcentral.